RNAcentral lists this transfer RNA (68 nucleotides) under Marmota monax (woodchuck). Its description in RNAcentral is "tRNA.Gly". The record is from RNAcentral. Lineage: Eukaryota; Metazoa; Chordata; Mammalia; Rodentia; Sciuridae.
GUUGUGGCUCAGAGGUAGAAUGCUUGCCUACCAUCCAUGAGGUACUGGGUUCGAUCCUCAGCACCACA